This 378-nucleotide ribosomal RNA is filed under the name uncultured eukaryote. RNAcentral describes it as "partial 18S ribosomal RNA". It matches the Rfam family "Eukaryotic small subunit ribosomal RNA", at positions 592 to 975 of the family's 1831-position model. The record is from RNAcentral.
CAAUAGCGUAUAUUUAAGUUGUUGCAGUUAAAAAGCUCGUAGUUGGAUUUCGGAUGGGACUUGCCGGUCCGUCGUUUCGAUGUGCACUGGCCAGUCCUAUCUUGUUGUCGGGGACUAGCUCCUGGGCUUCACUGUCCGGGACUAGGAGCUGACGAGGUUACUUUGAGUAAAUUAGAGUGUUCAAAGCAAGCCUACGCUCUGAAUACAUUAGCAUGGAAUAACACGAUAGGACUCUGGCUUAUCUUGUUGGUCUGUGAGACCAGAGUAAUGAUUAAGAGGGACAGUCGGGGGCAUUCGUAUUUCAUUGUCAGAGGUGAAAUUCUUGGAUCUAUGAAAGACGAACUUCUGCGAAAGCAUUUGUCAAGGAUGUUUUCAUUA